Molecule: ribosomal RNA, 350 nt
Filed under: uncultured bacterium
Lineage: Bacteria
Description: bacterial SSU rRNA
Rfam family: Bacterial small subunit ribosomal RNA
Source: RNAcentral
UAAUACCGCAUACGUCCUACGGGAGAAAGCGGGCCUCUACACUAUGCUCGCACUCGAGGAUGAGCCCACGUCCGAUUAGCUAGUUGGUAGGGCAACGGCCUACCAAGGCCACGAUCGGUAGCUGGUCUGAGAGGAUGAUCAGCCACACUGGGACUGAGACACGGCCCAGACUCCUACGGGAGGCAGCAGUGGGGAAUAUUGGACAAUGGGCGCAAGCCUGAUCCAGCAAUGCCGCGUGUGUGAAGAAGGCCUGCGGGUUGUAAAGCACUUUCAGUGGGGAAGAACGGAUACGGGCCAAUACCCCGCCAUCACUGACGUUACCCACAGAAGAAGCACCGGCUAACUCCGUG